This is a small nucleolar RNA of Vitis vinifera (wine grape), 91 nucleotides long. It matches the Rfam family "Small nucleolar RNA snoR27". The record is from Rfam. Lineage: Eukaryota; Viridiplantae; Streptophyta; Magnoliopsida; Vitales; Vitaceae.
UAUGAAUCGAUGAUGUUACUAUGAAACUGCGUUAUCUAUCUGAAACAUCCUAAUAGGGAUUGGAGAUAAUCAUAGCAUCCUGAGAUCCAUU